GACGAACGCUGGCGGCGUGCUUAACACAUGCAAGUCGAACGGUAAGGCCCUGCUUUUGUGGGGUGCUCGAGUGGCGAACGGGUGAGUAACACGUGAGUAACCUGCCCUUGACUUUGGGAUAACUUCCGGAAACUGGGGCUAAUACCGGAUAGGAGCUCCUGCUGCCUGGUGGGGGUUGGAAAGUUUCGGUGGUGGGGGAUGGACUCCCGGCUUAUUAGCAUGUUGGUGGGGUGGUGGUUUACCAAGGCUUUGAUGGGUAGCCGGCCUGAGAGGGUGACAGGGCACAUCGGGACUGAGAUACGGCCGAGGCACCUACGGGAGACAGCGGUGGGGAAGAGUGCACCAUGGGCGGAGGCGUGAUGCAGCAACGCCGCGUGCGGGAGGUCGGCCUUCGGUUUGUAAACCGCUUUCGCGUGUGACGAGGCGUGAGUGACGGUAAGGGGAAAAGAAGGACGGGCUAACAACGUG
Molecule: ribosomal RNA, 468 nt
Filed under: uncultured bacterium
Lineage: Bacteria
Description: partial 16S ribosomal RNA
Rfam family: Bacterial small subunit ribosomal RNA
Source: RNAcentral